RNAcentral lists this RNase P RNA (398 nucleotides) under Chitinophaga sp. Its description in RNAcentral is "RNase P RNA component class A". It matches the Rfam family "Bacterial RNase P class A". Rfam says of the family: Ribonuclease P (RNase P) is a ubiquitous endoribonuclease, found in archaea, bacteria and eukarya as well as chloroplasts and mitochondria. Its best characterised activity is the generation of mature 5'-ends of tRNAs by cleaving the 5'-leader elements of precursor-tRNAs. Cellular RNase Ps are ribonucleoproteins. Lineage: Bacteria; Pseudomonadati; Bacteroidota; Chitinophagia; Chitinophagales; Chitinophagaceae. The record is from RNAcentral.
ACUACAAACCGUGCUAUCGUUUCACUGACUUGUGCAGUGAGAAGGAAAGUCCGGACAGCGCAGAGCAACGCACCACCUAACGGGUGGGUCCUUAUUUGAUCCGCUUUACGCGGGGCAGGUAGGGAACAGCAAGUGCCACAGAAAAUAACCGCCCCCGUUUAACAGCGGGGGUAAGGGUGAAAAUGUGGGGUAAGCGCCCACGGUGCAGGCAGGUAACUGUUUGUGCGGGUAAACCUUGCGUGCUGAAAUGCCAUGUAUACGGUCGCCUGAGGGCUGCUCGCCCGAUGACCGAGGGUAGGCAGAUACAGACAACGUGCGAACGUUGUCGCAGAUAAAUGAUAGCAGCCCCCCGCUUUACGCGGGGGGAACAGAAUCCGGCUUAUAGGUUUGUAGUUUUU